RNAcentral lists this long non-coding RNA (1125 nucleotides) under Felis catus (domestic cat). Its description in RNAcentral is "lncRNA (ENSFCAG00000053606.1)". Lineage: Eukaryota; Metazoa; Chordata; Mammalia; Carnivora; Felidae. The record is from RNAcentral.
AUGGGGCACCGUGGAGGCUCACGUGGCAGGCCUGCACGUGGCCUUUGUGUGGAGGCGACAGUGUGGUUGGGGGUUGAGGACAUACUUGCCCCAGAGCCCCCGGCUGGUCACUCAGCACGCUGGGCACGCACGUCUGAGGGUGGGGCACUCUCCCCUCGGGGACCCGCCAUCACAGAGGCCAAUGCUGUGUCACGGAAGCUCACGCUGACUCUCAGAGAGGAACCUGCGGGGAACAGGUCGUGCCUCAAGGGGUGUCUGUCCCCUCCCUCCCCUCCUCUCCCAGGACAAGGACCCAGCGCGGCCCUGCUCCAGCCAGGACGCCCUCAGCGCACAGCACAAGUAGGUCUGCCUUCCGGGCCUCCCUCUGCAGCCCGACUGACGCAGCAGCGGACAGCCCGCCCCGCGUGGGUUCACUGGGGACCCUGUUGGAGCAGCAGCCUGGGGGACGCGUCGCCGAGGACAGGCCUGGCUCUGGCGAUCACCGCAGGUGUCGGCGGGAGCGUCUGCACCCCUGCAUGGAGGGGCUCCCUGGAAGUGCCCAGGCCGCACUGGGGCCCACACAGGGCCCUCUGCAACCCGCUCGGCUCAGGCCAGAGUCAGCAGAGCCCCGGGUGGCCUGUCCCCGUCAUCCCCGUGCACCUGCCUGCACCUGUCCCGUGUCCCUGCACCUGGGAUGUGCAGCCAGCGGCCUCCAAAGUGUCUACACCAUUUGCACGUUCCCUAGAACGAAAGGUCUUCAGCUCCAACGGCACCUACUGGGAGGGGUCUUCCUGGGUGCCCAGCGCAGUCCCCCCCACGUUCCCCUGCAGCCGCCACAGGGGCCGGCUUCUGUGCUUCCUCUGCAGGCCCCACACCGAGGGCUGGUCCUGUGUACACACUUACCUACCAGCUUGUCUGUGGUUAGACACACACACACACACACACACUCACUCACACACCCCACUACAUACAGCACACAUGCACACCCCAUACCACACACCCCACCUGCUGCAGACACACCCCACCCUCAUGAGUGUAAGCUCAUGCAUGCGGGGACUUUCGCUCACGUUGUACGCUGACGUAGAGCUGCUCACUCCGUGCAGAGCUCAGCCCAGGACAAAGGCGGCCCUGGGCGGGCACGGCUGA